This 484-nucleotide ribosomal RNA is filed under the name uncultured bacterium. RNAcentral's name for it is "partial 16S ribosomal RNA". It matches the Rfam family "Bacterial small subunit ribosomal RNA", at positions 30 to 507 of the family's 1533-position model. The record is from RNAcentral.
AUUGAACGCUGGCGGCAGGCCUAACACAUGCAAGUCGAGCGGAUGAAGGGAGCUUGCUCCUGGAUUCAGCGGCGGACGGGUGAGUAAUGCCUAGGAAUCUGCCUGGUAGUGGGGGAUAACGUCCGGAAACGGGCGCUAAUACCGCAUACGUCCUGAGGGAGAAAGUGGGGGAUCUUCGGACCUCACGCUAUCAGAUGAGCCUAGGUCGGAUUAGCUAGUUGGUGGGGUAAAGGCCUACCAAGGCGACGAUCCGUAACUGGUCUGUGAGGAUGAUCAGUCACACUGGAACUGAGACACGGUCCAGACUCCUACGGGAGACAGCAGUGGGGAAUAUUGGACAAUGGGCGAAAGCCUGAUCCAGCCAUGCCGCGUGUGUGAAGAAGGUCUUCGGAUUGUAAAGCACUUUAAGUUGGGAGGAAGGGCAGUAAGUUAAUACCUUGCUGUUUUGACGUUACCAACAGAAUAAGCACCGGCUAACUUCGUG